GUCGAUUGGUUGGGUUGAGCCACAUGGACCAGGGUUUAAAAGUGAGGAUGAUACUGGUGGUGGGUUUGUGGUUCUCGUUCCUUGUUACAAGAAAGUUAUGGGUGGUUCAGGGAAUCAGAUUCUGAAUGGUUUCUUCUCUACAGCUCCUGAUGGGAAGAAUAUGGAACAGUUACUGUCGUCUAUAAGGAAGCUAUAAGCUGGAUGAUUGGGAAAGAUCAAGACUAGUUCUCUCGUGUUUUUUUUCUCAGUAUCAUAAUUAAGAAUCAAAUAAUCAAAAAAAAAAAAAACAAGAAAAAGAAAGAAAAAAAAGGAGGCAAGGUUGAUAGCUUCUGGAGACUUCUUUUGGUUCUCUGUUUCAAGUGAGUGACAACAAGUCAUCCUCAAGAAUCUACUAAUGGACAAAGAUGAUGGUGAUGGGGACUUGGCAACAUAAAAUGAAUGAAGAAUUGAUAUGCUAUGAAUAUGAUAUAUAUAUGAUUUCGAGUAUUUGGAUAUUUUUUCAUGUUGGGUGUUUGAAGUGAAAGUGUUUUCUGCUUCUUCACUUCUGCGGUCGUGAUUAUUUGGUUCGGACAAAGAAAGAACAAUCUUUUUUUUCUCUUUUGUUCUUUUGUGGUUGGUGAUGUGUAAUAAUAAUAGUGUACAUGUACAUAAGCUUCGGUUUC
Molecule: long non-coding RNA, 662 nt
Organism: Brassica oleracea var. oleracea
Lineage: Eukaryota; Viridiplantae; Streptophyta; Magnoliopsida; Brassicales; Brassicaceae
Exons: 2
Source: RefSeq, a predicted model, not a curated record